This 497-nucleotide ribosomal RNA is filed under the name uncultured bacterium. RNAcentral describes it as "partial 16S ribosomal RNA". It matches the Rfam family "Bacterial small subunit ribosomal RNA", at positions 28 to 507 of the family's 1533-position model. The record is from RNAcentral.
GAUGAACGCUGGCGGCGUGCCUAAUACAUGCAAGUCGAGCGAACAGACGAGGAGCUUGCUCCUCUGACGUUAGCGGCGGACGGGUGAGUAACACGUGGAUAACCUACCUAUAAGACUGGGAUAACUUCGGGAAACCGGAGCUAAUACCGGAUAAUAUAUUGAACCGCAUGGUUCAAUAGUGAAAGACGGUUUUGCUGUCACUUAUAGAAGGAUCCGCGCCGCAUUAGCUAGUUGGUAAGGUAACGGCUUACCAAGGCAACGAUGCGUAGCCGACCUGAGAGGGUGAUCGGCCACACUGGAACUGAGACACGGUCCAGACUCCUACGGGAGGCAGCAGUAGGGAAUCUUCCGCAAUGGGCGAAAGCUUGACGGAGCAACGCCGCGUGAGUGAUGAAGGUCUUCGGAUCGUAAAACUCUGUUAUUAGGGAAGAACAAAUGUGUAAGUAACUAUGCACGUCUUGACGGUACCUAAUCAGAAAGCCACGGCUAACUACGUG